GCCUGUAGCCUAAUGGUUAGAUAAGGCCUUAGUAGCACCUGAGGUCCUGGGUUCGACUCCUCGUUGGACAAGAAUGAAGAUAUACAUUCUGUGUUGUGUGCCUGUCCAAAAUUGAAUAAUUGUGCGAACGGGCCUGUAGCCUAAUGGUUAGAUAAGGCCUUAGUAGCACCUAAGGUCCUGGGUUCGACUCCUCGUUGGAGCGAAUUAUUCAUGAUUGUAACGGCUUUGUGCUUUCAGUGGGUGACGAUAUGAGGUUUGCACGCGCACGCGUGCAUUCCUAGAGGAGAGUCAUCAAAAAAAAUUGAAUAAUUGUCGUCAAUAUAGACAACGUUUGAUUUUCAGAGGACUCACAAUCAUCAUCUAUCUUCAUGAAAACUAUCCGUUUCUUAACAUUUCAGAGAUUUUUCUUUG
RNAcentral lists this long non-coding RNA (411 nucleotides) under Oryza brachyantha (malo sina). RNAcentral's name for it is "long non-coding RNA (OBRA_LNC000028)". The record is from RNAcentral. Lineage: Eukaryota; Viridiplantae; Streptophyta; Magnoliopsida; Poales; Poaceae.